Molecule: long non-coding RNA, 1113 nt
Filed under: Mustela putorius furo (domestic ferret)
Lineage: Eukaryota; Metazoa; Chordata; Mammalia; Carnivora; Mustelidae
Description: lncRNA (ENSMPUG00000032016.1)
Source: RNAcentral
GUGAAAUUAAUUGGAUACGGUUUCUAAUGAACAAGUUAAGAAGUUGUGACGAGGCAAGAGUAAAUGAUGGCGUUUAUCACUAACUACCAUCCACCAUCUUUUGGAGUGGUAUUUUGACAUAAAGUCUUAGAAGAAGAAGAUGUCUGAGGUGAUGUUUUCAAAAACAAGAGGGAGAUCAUGGAAGAAGUCUAGUAAUGGUUCCUGCAACUCAUGAACACAUGGAACAAAUUAACAGGAUCUAGGGACAUCAUAGAAAGUACCACAAGUAGGUUAUAAACUAACAUCUGAAGACACAGAAUUUUGCAACUGAAGGUACCAUGUUAAAUUUUGGUUCAGAAACAAGUGGAGUUGGACCCCAGCUGGAGGGCAGCUGAGAAAAUAGUAACAAUAACAAUAUGUGAAACUCUGCAAACUCAAGAGCAAAUAAGGCUUGACAAUGCCACUGUUACCCCUUUGUAACAAACGGUAAAAGAAAAAUCCAUAUGUGAAUGCUUGGCUUUAGAGUAGUUUGAACUACCUGAUUUAGUGUCUUAAAAAAAUCCACAGUGGUCAGCACUGUCACAAUGUUAGAGGGGGAAAAAAAAAGUAGAGACUUAUCUACUCAUCUACUCAUAUUUCUAUUUAUACAUUUCUUUCUCCUGAACAGAGAUGGGGAGAAUUGUCAAAAGGAGUAGAGAUAAUCAUAAAAGUCAAAAUUCACUUUCUUUAAAUUUGAUGAUUCACCAAGUAACCAUACAUAAUUAUGGCUCCUCACCUGGAAAAUCAUCCAUCUUUGGCCAAUAGAUCUAUUUAAAUUUCUAUUAUUUUUAAAUGUCAUUUCAACUAAACUCAUAUUUUUUUAUUCCUUUUCACAUAAUGUAUCUUAUAGAAGUCUUAAUACUGAAUAAAAGCAGCUAAUCAAAAAUGUUUAUGAAGCAAAGAAAUUUACUUUUUGAAGGAAAGAAAUUUAACUUCUACCACCUGGAUGUUAAAAGCAAGCAGAAGAAAUUCAGACAGAAACCAAGACAGUAGGGAUGUGCACACACAGAGCACCAUCUGUAAGCAAAAGAGAGAAACUUCCGAUGAAACCACCUGUGAUCUCAGUCAUCUAGCUUCCAGAAUUGUGAAAAAAUA